Molecule: ribosomal RNA, 468 nt
Filed under: uncultured bacterium
Lineage: Bacteria
Description: partial 16S ribosomal RNA
Rfam family: Bacterial small subunit ribosomal RNA
Source: RNAcentral
GACGAACGCUGGCGGCGUGCUUAACACAUGCAAGUCGAACGGAAAGGCCCUGCUGCUGUGGGGUGCUCGAGUGGCGAACGGGUGGGUAAGACGUGAGUAACCUGCCCUUGCCUUUGGGAUAACUUCCGGAAACUAGGGCUAAUACCUAAUAGGUGCGCCUGCUGCAUGGUGGGGGUUGUAAAGUUUCGGCGGUUGGGGCUGGACUAGCGGCUUAUCAGCUUGUGGGUGGGGUAGUGGCUUACCAAGGCUUUGACGGGUAGCCGGCCUGAGAGGGUGACCGGCCACAUUGGGACUGAGAAACGGCCAAGAGUCCUACGGGCGGCAGCAGUGGGGGAUAUUGCACGAUGGGCGGAAGCCUGAUGGAGCAACGCCGCGUGCGAGAUGACGGCCUUCGGGUUGUAAAGCGCUUUCGCCUGAGACGAAGCGUGAGUGACGGUAAUGGGUAAAGAAGCACCGGCUAACUACGUG